This 253-nucleotide ribosomal RNA is filed under the name uncultured bacterium. RNAcentral's name for it is "partial 16S ribosomal RNA". It matches the Rfam family "Bacterial small subunit ribosomal RNA", at positions 524 to 776 of the family's 1533-position model. The record is from RNAcentral.
UACGUAGGGUGCGAGCGUUAAUCGGAAUUACUGGGCGUAAAGCGUGCGCAGGCGGUGAGCUGUGUCCGAUGUGAAAGCCCCGGGCUUAACCUGGGAAUGGCAUUGGAAACUGGCUCGCUGGAGUGUGGCAGAGGGGGGUGGAAGUCCGCGUGUAGCAGUGAAAUGCGUAGAGAUGCGGAGGAACACCGAUGGCGAAGGCAGCCCCCUGGGCUAACACUGACGCUCAGGCACGAAAGCGUGGGGAGCAAACAGG